CUCUAUUGGGAAUUCAAAGUUAUGAAACAUCCCUACUUAAAAGGAGCACAUAGUGUGUCUAGGAAAAAAGAAAUCAACCAGUUAUGUAAGCUGAUGAAAUUACUAACAGUCCAGACAAUGUCACAAAUUUCUUCAAUGACAUAAGGACAACAAAUUAGAUAAAAGCUUCUUAUGUAUUAGAUAGGGAUAAUUGACUAAAAGACUAUUCUAUUCCAAGGUGGAGGUUUAAAUGUGUCACAAAAAUGUCAUCAUGACUGUGACGUUAUAAUACUAUGUCUAAAUUUUCUCUGCAUAAUUGCUGUCUGUUAACAUUCUACAGGGAUUCAUCUACUAGAGCACUCAUGCUUGGUGAGAAGUAGCAGUUCUAUGGCUAUGCUUUAUAUUUCAAGGCUCUUCUGGACAUUCAGCAACUGAGGUUUAGAAACCAAAAGUUAAAAACACAGAUGGGCUGAAAACACAGAUAACCAAUAUGGCCCUAGCCCUCCAAAACAUGUCAGUCUCCUUGAAAUACUCCUUUUUGUGUCAGUUCCCAAGCCUGGGAUAAAUGGGUAUCACCCAGUCCAGGACUUGUGGGCAAUGAAUGCCCUGGUUGUAACCCUUUACCCUACUGUACCCAACCCCUAUACCUUUCUUAGUUAACUCCCACCUACUCAGAGUUGGUAUACUGUGUUGGAUUUAAAAGAUUUUUUUUUCCGUAUUUCUUUGUCUGUUGCAUCCCAAGAGUUGCCUGCUUUUGAAUGAGAGGAUCGGGGGCAGGGGAAUGAAAAUGUACUUUACUAAAGGAAACUGAUGGCCCUCAACACUGCCUCCCUUUCACCGACAUCACUGGAGCCACCUGAGCACAACUAUGUGCACACAAUCAAGGCAAUCCAACUCAGCCAGACUGGACCUACGGGACGCAUCCCUCCGGAACCCUGACUUGACACUUCUUGGGCUACAACAGAAUGAAACUGCCCAGAGUCCACAGACAAGGAAUACUGGCCUUUGAGGAUGUUGAGGUGGAUUCUACAGAACUCAAACCCACCCUUAGAAACAAGAAGUAUUUGUUGGUCCUCAUUUGCACCUAUUUGGACUGGGUGGAGGCCAUCCCCACAAAAACUGAGAUGACUAGAGAGAUGAUAAAAGCUCUGAUGGAGCUAGUUAUUCCUCAGUAUGGGCUUCCCAUGAUGGUAGGUUCACAUGAUGGGCCUUCUUUCAUGGGUUGAGUGGUUCAGAGCCUUUCCACUAAAAUGGGAGCUACACACCACUGACCAACCACAGAGUUCUAACCAGGUAGAGAGACAGAAUCCAACUUUAAAGUCUACCCUAGCCAAGCUGUGCCAAGAGACUGGGACAAACUGGGUAACUAUGCUUCAGAUCACCUUGCUGAGGUACCGAUGCACCCCAUACCAGGAAGAACUCACUCUGUUUGAGAUCAUGUUGGGAGGCCUCCCCCACUUUUGCCCAUCUUAUAAACACUACAAGAGAUAAGGACUCUUGAUGUACUGGAGGAGCACAUUUGUAAUGACAACCAUUGUGUACCACUGAGUGGACCCUAUUUGCCUUCAGUGAGCUGAGCUGGCCUCACUGUAUUUCCUGUAUGACCAGCAAGAUGUUAUAUUUAUAAUCCACAUAAGUAAAUUUUGGAUCCCUCACUG
Molecule: long non-coding RNA, 1637 nt
Organism: Chinchilla lanigera (long-tailed chinchilla)
Lineage: Eukaryota; Metazoa; Chordata; Mammalia; Rodentia; Chinchillidae
Exons: 2
Source: RefSeq, a predicted model, not a curated record